AGAGUUUGAUCAUGGCUCAGGAUGAACGCUAGCGGCGCGCUUAACACAUGCGAGUCGUGCGAUCGGCUUAUUCCAAUUUCCUUCGGGAAAGCGGAAUAAGCACGGAGCGGCAAACGGGUGAGUAACGCGUAGCUAACCUACCUUGGGGAGGGGCAUAACCCUGGGAAACCAGGGCUAAUACCCCAUAAGAUCAGAGGACCCAAGUCCACUGAUCAAAGGACCUUUCGGUUCACCCCGGGAUGGGGCUGCGUCCCAUUAGCUAGAUGGUGAGGUAAAGGCUCACCAUGGCCAUGAUGGGUAGGGGGCGUGAGAGCGCGACCCCCCACACUGGAACUGAGACACGGUCCAGACUCCUACGGGAGGCUGCAGUGGGGAAUCUUCCACAAUGGGCGCAAGUCUGAUGGAGCGACGCCGCGUGGGGGAAGAAGGCCUUCGGGUUGUAAACUCCUUUUCUGGAGGACGAACAAGGUAGGCAGGCAAUGGUCUACCCUUGACGGUACUCCAGGAACAAGCACCGGCUAACUUCGUGCCAGCAGCCGCGGUAAAACGAAGGGUGCAAGCGUUAUCCGGAAUCACUGGGCGUAAAGGGCGUCUAGGCGGCCCGUUAAGUCGGCGGUGAAAGUCCUCGGCUCAACUAAGGAAAGUCCGUCGAAACUGACAGGCUAGAGGAACACAGAGGGAGGCGGAACUCUCGGAGUAGCGGUGGAAUGCGCAGAUACCGAGAGGUACCCCGAUGGCGAAGGCAGCCUCCUGGGUGUUUCCUGACGCUGAAGCGCUAAGGCCAGGGGAGCCAAGGGGAUUAGAUACCCCCGUAGUCCUGGCUGCAAACGAUGUGAGCUAGGUAUCGGGCCCAUGAAGAGGCUCGUUGCCGUAGCUAACGCGUUAAGCUCACCGCCUGGGGAUUACGUCCGCAAGGAUGAAACUCAAGGGAAUUGACGGGGGCCCACACAACCGGUGGAGCACGUGGCUUAAUUCGAUGAUAAGCGAAGAACCUUACCAGGGCUUGACAUACCGGUAGUAGAACCCCGAAAGGGCGCCGAGCCUGGCUUCGGUCAGGCAACCGGUACAGGUGGUGCAUGGCUGUCGUCAGCUCGUGUCGUGGGACGUUGGGUUAAGUCCCGUAACGAGCGCAACCCCUGCUCUUAGUUGCCAGCGGUUCGGCCGGGGACUCUAAGAGGACUGCCGGAGAAUAUCCGGAGGAAGGGGGGGAUGACGUCAAGUCAUUAUGCCCCUUAUGCUCUGGGCGACGCACGUGCUACAAAGGCCACUACAAUGGGGAGCGACCCCGCGAGGGCGAGCAAAUCCCAAAAAGGUGGUCUCAGUGCGGAUUGGGGUCUGCAACUCGACCCCAUGAAGAUGGAAUCGGUAGUAAUCGCGGGUCAGCCAUACCGCGGUGAAUAUGUACUUGGGCCUUGCACACACCGCCCGU
RNAcentral lists this ribosomal RNA (1429 nucleotides) under uncultured bacterium. Its description in RNAcentral is "bacterial SSU rRNA". It matches the Rfam family "Bacterial small subunit ribosomal RNA". The record is from RNAcentral.